This 305-nucleotide unclassified non-coding RNA is filed under the name Bartonella sp. 'ARUP UnID 145'. RNAcentral's name for it is "contains 16S-23S intergenic spacer region". The stretch from base 54 to 127 matches the Rfam family "tRNA". Lineage: Bacteria; Pseudomonadati; Pseudomonadota; Alphaproteobacteria; Hyphomicrobiales; Bartonellaceae. The record is from RNAcentral.
GAGUGUUUCUUUGAUUAGAUUAUGCGAUUGAAAGUUUUCUGGUUUUCCUCGUAGGGCUUGUAGCUCAGUCGGUUAGAGCGCGCGCUUGAUAAGCGUGAGGUCGGAGGUUCAAGUCCUCCCAGGCCCACCAGUUACACUAUGCAGCAAAUUGCUCUGAUCACUGAAAGUUGCUCUGAGUGAGAAUGUUAAAAUCUAGUGAAAUGUUCCCAAUUCUUUAUUGAAUAAUCCCUUAAAGAAAAUUUAUGCUUAAAUAAAUUCUUCUAAGAGCAUUCAGAGCCUCCAUAGGAACUCAAAGCCUUCCAUAG